AUUAAACGCUGGCGGCAUGCCUUACACAUGCAAGUCGAACGGUAGCGCGGGGCAACCUGGCGACGAGUGGCGAACGGGUGAGUAAAGCAUCGGAACGUGCCCUGGAAUGGGGGAUAACGUAGCGAAAGUUACGCUAAUACCGCAUAUUCUGUGAGCAGGAAAGCAGGGGAUCGCAAGACCUUGCGUUCUGGGAGCGGCCGAUGUCGGAUUAGCUAGUUGGUGGGGUAAAGGCCUACCAAGGCGACGAUCCGUAGCGGGUCUGAGAGGAUGAUCCGCCACACUGGGACUGAGACACGGCCCAGACUCCUACGGGAGGCAGCAGUGAGGAAUAUUGGGCAAUGCACGAAAGUGUGACCCAGCAACGCCGCGUGGAGGAUGAAGGUAUUCUAUAUCGUAAACUCCUGUGAGAGCAGACGAAAGACAGAUUAUAAUUUGGAUGACUGUAUGCUCAGAGGAAGCCCCGGCUAACUACGUGCCAGCAGCCGCGGUAAU
Molecule: ribosomal RNA, 492 nt
Filed under: uncultured bacterium
Lineage: Bacteria
Description: bacterial SSU rRNA
Rfam family: Bacterial small subunit ribosomal RNA
Source: RNAcentral